GUGGGGAAUAUUGGACAAUGGGCGAAAGCCUGAUCCAGCCAUGCCGCGUGUGUGAAGAAGGUCUUCGGAUUGUAAAGCACUUUAAGUUGGGAGGAAGGGCAGUAAGUUAAUACCUUGCUGUUUUGACGUUACCGACAGAAUAAGCACCGGCUAACUCUGUGCCAGCAGCCGCGGUAAUACGAAGGGGGCGAGCGUUAUUCGGAAUCACUGGGCGUAAAGCGUGCGUAGGCGGUUUUGUAAGUUAGGAGUGAAAGCCCAGGGCUCAACCUUGGAAUUGCUCUUAAAACUGCAAGGCUCGAAUCUCGGAGAGGAUAGCGGAAUUUCCAGUGUAGCAGUGAAAUGCGUAGAUAUUGGAAGGAACACCAGUGGCGUAAGCGGCUAUCUGGACGAGUAUUGACGCUGAGGCACGAAAGCGUGGGGAUCAAACAGGAUUAGAAACCCUUGUAGUCC
This 450-nucleotide ribosomal RNA is filed under the name uncultured bacterium. Its description in RNAcentral is "partial 16S ribosomal RNA". It matches the Rfam family "Bacterial small subunit ribosomal RNA", at positions 354 to 796 of the family's 1533-position model. The record is from RNAcentral.